This is a long non-coding RNA of Cyprinus carpio carpio, 796 nucleotides long. NCBI's taxonomy places the organism in Eukaryota, Metazoa, Chordata, Actinopteri, Cypriniformes, Cyprinidae. The record is from Ensembl.
GUGUUUUCUUUUUUCCUGUACUUUGACAAUUUAAUAUAUCACAGACACAGUAAAUGAUUUCACUGACGCCUGUGGCAGAUGCUGUGACCCGUUUACACGGCACCUUUAUAAAGGAGGGUCAGCAGUGGUCAGAUUAGUUCAGUGCAUCUGUCAUCAGCUCGUAUAACUGUGGCCAUGGUAACAACAUAGGCGUCAACGUUAACUAAAUCUGGUUUACAUCAUGCUUAUCGACUCAUAAAGCUCACUGAGCAAAUCGCGAUUAUGUAAAACAAUAGCGCGGUUACGUUAAUUUAGGAUGAUCCCCGAUAUCUAAAAAAAAUUAGGUGAAGAAUUAGACUUAUACAAUCGCCUCGUAUGAGGUUUGAAUAAAACAGCAUCGUUAAAAACGGACGAUGGGCUCGAAAUGAGCCGGGAUAACCCCAAAUCACGCACGAAAUGCACAGAGAAGCCAAGAUCGUCGUUCAUUUGCAUGCAUCGAGACGACAGAUGACGGUCUUACCAGGGUCUUCGCCACGUUCCCCCUCUGAGUGAUGUUUUUGCUGUGCUUCUCGUUUGCCAUGCGGAUUCUUUGUUUUGCUACCAUCUUCCGACCCAGCGUCCAGGGUGGCCAGAUGAAACCCGCUGAGCUGUCUCUGCCGCCCAAGACAAAGGGGACACUCAGCAUUACUCCGGGAUCACAGCCAGAAGGAGAAAGGAGCUGAAGGAAGCUUUUAUUCACCGCAAGAUGAAGUUUAGCAGCCACAGGAGGAAACCGCAACAAGAAGACACAGGCUGUUUAAAUCAAAAGAUCAAAAGG